Tachyglossus aculeatus (Australian echidna) is the source of this 138-nucleotide small nucleolar RNA. The record is from RefSeq and is a predicted model, not a curated record. Lineage: Eukaryota; Metazoa; Chordata; Mammalia; Monotremata; Tachyglossidae.
CACCUCUCAGGGUUUUACCUGGAGAGUUUCCAGUACUCUACUAGUCUCAGCUACGUGAGGGAGAGUCAAGCAGAGGCCUACCCAUUCCACUCCUAACUUGGACAGUGGCUAGUGAGUGGAAGGCAAUCUGCCACAAGU